CCCUGCGCACCCUCACCUUCCUCAAUCUUUUAAACCUUAGCCCCACCCGACGGUUAUCCAUUUUCUGGCUAAGAUUUCGUUGAGGCAUCCAUGGUUUUCGGCCGAUUCUAUCUCUGGCGAUGAAGAGUAUCUAAGAUUCAUCGGAUAUGUACUUCCUCCGAUCUCCAACUCCACCGUUCUCUCUCUCAGCCCUAAAUCUCACCAAUGGAGGCCCCCUCUUCCUUCUCGGAAGAACAGAGAAAAAAAAAAUAGAGGAAGAAAGAAGAGAAGGAAGAGUCGAUUAUUUCAAGUUCGGUGUCUAAAACAAUCGAAGGAACAUCACCGGCGAUGGACGGGGUUUUAGAGCAGAGCAGAGUGGUGAGGAGGGUUACGUCACCGACGAUGGACGGGGUUUUGGAGUAGAG
Molecule: long non-coding RNA, 404 nt
Filed under: Elaeis guineensis (African oil palm)
Lineage: Eukaryota; Viridiplantae; Streptophyta; Magnoliopsida; Arecales; Arecaceae
Description: long non-coding RNA (EGUI_LNC069567)
Source: RNAcentral